AAAUUGAAGAGUUUGAUCAUGGCUCAGAUUGAACGCUGGCGGCAGGCCUAACACAUGCAAGUCGAACGGUAACAGGAAGCAGCUUGCUGCUUUGCUGACGAGUGGCGGACGGGUGAGUAAUGUCUGGGAAACUGCCUGAUGGAGGGGGAUAACUACUGGAAACGGUAGCUAAUACCGCAUAACGUCGCAAGACCAAAGAGGGGGACCUUCGGGCCUCUUGCCAUCGGAUGUGCCCAGAUGGGAUUAGCUAGUAGGUGGGGUAACGGCUCACCUAGGCGACGAUCCCUAGCUGGUCUGAGAGGAUGACCAGCCACACUGGAACUGAGACACGGUCCAGACUCCUACGGGAGGCAGCAGUGGGGAAUAUUGCACAAUGGGCGCAAGCCUGAUGCAGCCAUGCCGCGUGUAUGAAGAAGGCCUUCGGGUUGUAAAGUACUUUCAGCGGGGAGGAAGGUGUUGAGGUUAAUAACCUCAGCAAUUGACGUUACCCGCAGAAGAAGCACCGGCUAACUCCGUGCCAGCAGCCGCGGUAAUACGGAGGGUGCAAGCGUUAAUCGGAAUUACUGGGCGUAAAGCGCACGCAGGCGGUCUGUCAAGUCGGAUGUGAAAUCCCCGGGCUCAACCUGGGAACUGCAUUCGAAACUGGCAGGCUAGAGUCUUGUAGAGGGGGGUAGAAUUCCAGGUGUAGCGGUGAAAUGCGUAGAGAUCUGGAGGAAUACCGGUGGCGAAGGCGGCCCCCUAGACAAAGACUGACGCUCAGGUGCGAAAGCGUGGGGAGCAAACAGGAUUAGAUACCCUGGUAGUCCACGCCGUAAACGAUGUCGACUUGGAGGUUGUGCCCUUGAGGCGUGGCUUCCGGAGCUAACGCGUUAAGUCGACCGCCUGGGGAGUACGGCCGCAAGGUUAAAACUCAAAUGAAUUGACGGGGGCCCGCACAAGCGGUGGAGCAUGUGGUUUAAUUCGAUGCAACGCGAAGAACCUUACCUACUCUUGACAUCCAGAGAACUUUCCAGAGAUGGAUUGGUGCCUUCGGGAACUCUGAGACAGGUGCUGCAUGGCUGUCGUCAGCUCGUGUUGUGAAAUGUUGGGUUAAGUCCCGCAACGAGCGCAACCCUUAUCCUUUGUUGCCAGCGGUCCGGCCGGGAACUCAAAGGAGACUGCCAGUGAUAAACUGGAGGAAGGUGGGGAUGACGUCAAGUCAUCAUGGCCCUUACGAGUAGGGCUACACACGUGCUACAAUGGCGCAUACAAAGAGAAGCGACCUCGCGAGAGCAAGCGGACCUCAUAAAGUGCGUCGUAGUCCGGAUUGGAGUCUGCAACUCGACUCCAUGAAGUCGGAAUCGCUAGUAAUCGUGGAUCAGAAUGCCACGGUGAAUACGUUCCCGGGCCUUGUACACACCGCCCGUCACACCAUGGGAGUGGGUUGCAAAAGAAGUAGGUAGCUUAACCUUCGGGAGGGCGCUUACCACUUUGUGAUUCAUGACUGGGGUGAAGUCGUAACAAGGUAACCGUAGGGGAACCUGCGGUUGGAUCACCUCCUUA
This 1542-nucleotide ribosomal RNA is filed under the name Enterobacter cloacae complex sp. EB5. RNAcentral describes it as "bacterial SSU rRNA". It matches the Rfam family "Bacterial small subunit ribosomal RNA". The record is from RNAcentral. Lineage: Bacteria; Pseudomonadati; Pseudomonadota; Gammaproteobacteria; Enterobacterales; Enterobacteriaceae.